GACGAACGCUGGCGGCGUGCCUAAUACAUGCAAGUCGAGCGAACGGACGAGAAGCUUGCUUCUCUGAUGUUAGCGGCGGACGGGUGAGUAACCCGUGGAUAACCUACUUAUCAGACUGGCAUAACUUCGGGAAACCGGAGCUAAUACCGGAUAAUAUUUUGAACCGAAUGGUUCAAAAGCGAAAGACGGUCUUGCUGUCACUUAUAGAUGGAUCUGCGCUGCAUUCGCUAGUUGGUAAGGUAACGGCUUACCAAGGCAACGAUGCAUAGCCGACCUGAGAGGGUGAUCGACCACACGGGAACUGAGACUCGAUCCAGACUCCUGCGCGAGGCAACAGUAGAGAAUCUUCCGCGAGGGGCCAAUGCCUGACGGUGCAACGCCGCGUGAGUGAUGAUGGUCUUCGGAUCGUAGAACUCUGUUAGUAGGGAUAAACAUAUGUGUAAGUAACUGUGCACAUCUUGACGGUACCAAAGCAGAAAGCCACGGCUAACUACGUG
Molecule: ribosomal RNA, 497 nt
Filed under: uncultured bacterium
Lineage: Bacteria
Description: partial 16S ribosomal RNA
Rfam family: Bacterial small subunit ribosomal RNA
Source: RNAcentral